Molecule: ribosomal RNA, 253 nt
Filed under: uncultured bacterium
Lineage: Bacteria
Description: partial 16S ribosomal RNA
Rfam family: Bacterial small subunit ribosomal RNA
Source: RNAcentral
UACGUAGGUGACAAGCGUUGUCCGGAUUUACUGGGCGUAAAGAGCGCGCAGGCGGUCGAUCAAGUCGAGUGUGAAAGCCCCCGGCUCAACUGGGGAGGGUCACGCGAUACUGAUCGACUCGAAGGCAGGAGAGGGUAGUGGAAUUCCCGGUGUAGUGGUGAAAUGCGUAGAUAUCGGGAGGAACACCAGUGGCGAAGGCGACUACCUGGCCCAUUCUUGACGCUGAGGCGCGAAAGCUAGGGGAGCGAACGGG